This 455-nucleotide ribosomal RNA is filed under the name uncultured bacterium. Its description in RNAcentral is "bacterial SSU rRNA". It matches the Rfam family "Bacterial small subunit ribosomal RNA", at positions 340 to 786 of the family's 1533-position model. The record is from RNAcentral.
UACCGGAGGCAGCAGUGGGGAAUAUUGCACAAUGGGCGAAAGCCUGAUGCAGCUAUGCCGCGUGUAUGAAGAAGGCCUUAGGGUUGUAAAGUACUUUCAUCGGGGAGGAAAAACAAAACUAAUAAUUUUAUUUCUUGACGUUACCCGAAAAAGAAGCACCGGCUAACUCCGUGCCAGCAGCCGCGGUAAUACGGAGGGUGCUAGCGUUAAUCAGAAUUACUGGGCGUAAAGAGCACGUAGGUGGUUUUUUUAAGUCAGAUGUGAAAUCCCUGGGCUUAACCUAGGAACUGCAUUUUGAAACUGAAAUACUAGAGUAUCGUAGAGGGAGGUAGAAUUCUAGGUGUAGCGGUGAAAUGCGUAGAUAUCUGGAGGAAUACCUGUGGCGAAAGCGGCCUCCUAAACGAAUACUGACACUGAGGUGCGAAAGCGUGGGGAGCAAACAGGGAUUAGAUACC